Alnus glutinosa is the source of this 288-nucleotide long non-coding RNA. RefSeq lists it as uncharacterized. The transcript has 3 exons. The record is from RefSeq and is a predicted model, not a curated record. NCBI's taxonomy places the organism in Eukaryota, Viridiplantae, Streptophyta, Magnoliopsida, Fagales, Betulaceae.
CCUCAGUCUCCAAAAUCCAUGAAAUAAAUCAGUCCAUACCUCAAUAUGGAUUUGAACUUGCAGACUAUGAGACAAUAACAAGCCGUUGCAAUGCCCACACUUAUUUGACAGAUGUUAUUGGUAGAUUGGAAUCGGUUGGAGCAAUAAAGGAAGUAAAGUCUAAAGGAUGUCCAACCAAAAUACGCACAAUCCAUCUUCUAUUGGAAGAGAACAAAAUUCUACAGAUAACUUUGUGGGGGGCUAAAGCAUAUCAAAUAGAUGAGGAUUUUCAUAAGAAUACUCCAAGAC